RNAcentral lists this small RNA (30 nucleotides) under Bombyx mori (domestic silkworm). Its description in RNAcentral is "ovarian small RNA-4586". The record is from RNAcentral. Lineage: Eukaryota; Metazoa; Arthropoda; Insecta; Lepidoptera; Bombycidae.
AUACCUCGCAUUGCGAGCGGCCGCCAACGC